CUCUACUCUCGGACACGACGCAGCCUGGGCUGCUUCUCCCCCUCCCUCUUGGGAGUUUGCGGUGUGAACGCACAGCGAGCACAGAUCCACUUGGGACCGUACCCACGCUUAAUCUGUCUGGAAUGGGGUCAUGGAAUCAGUUGCCUUGAUUGAGCUGUGCUGCCUGUCUGUGGGGCGGAGGCCCAGUGCCUCUCACCAAAGCCCGCUGCCCAGGAGGAUGAGAACACUCUCUCCAUUGCUGCUCUCCUGACUGUGUGUCUGGCCAGGGUCCUUUCAUUUCACUCUGCCGGAGAACCCAGCAAUCAAACUCAUGUCACUCUGCAGUCAAAUUCGAAGUCUGUGAAAAUACAACCAAGAGAACAUUCUUCAGCCUGAAGGGUUGAGGCUCUCACCGAAAGGACUCUCAAGCUGAUUUCUGGCAUCUCGACAACAGAAGAAGGAACCUGUUUAUCCCAAGGUUGAACACAGAACAUAAAAUUCCUCUUCUUUUCUCGUGGCUUCGUACUCUGCCAGGAUGAGCAAUGUGACAGGAAAAAGCAUGACACCCCCCCCAAAAAAGCGAUAAACUAGACAAUAGAUUUCACAAAUAAAAAUAUUGCAUGGAGCAUAAACCUAAAAAUGAUUUGUUGUUGAUGGGAAAUUCAGAUUUAACUGGGCCCCGCAUCCUUUAUCUGCAACUCCAACACAACAUCCCUUGGUAGCCUCACAGAUGUUUUGUGGCACAUGUAAGGGAUGAGAGAGUCUGAAAGAAAAUGUGAGCUGCAACAGUACAUUACAGCCUUACUGGAUUUCUUUUGGAACAGGAGAGGCAGAAAGACAUGAGCAGAGCCUAGAUGGAGCAAGAGCACUUGGAAGUGCAAGGGCAGCUUUUCUAUAGCCAGACAGCUCUUGGCCUUGGGUUUUCUCACAGUUCCAAGUUCCAUGUUCCUGUUUCUAGCCCUUGGCCAUGGAAGCCCACCCUGCAGGAGGGAUGGGCACUCACCUCCAGCUCCACUCCCAGGGCCCGUGGGGGAACAUCUGAGACACAGAACUCAGCAGCACUUUCAAGAACUUCAGCUUGGAAGCAGGGUAGUAAAUUCAUGCUAGCGUCAAGGUCAUGAUCAAGCCCUUUCUUAUGUUUCUGAAUGGUGUCAAAGAGUUCAAGCCCAGAAGCUUUCACUACAGAGGAAAGGAAAUGAGGAAGAGUCUACAGCACACUCCUUAGAGCCGGUCAGAUGGGGGCCUCUCCCUCCGUCCUGGAGAGAUGACGCGUGGCGAGAGCAGACUGCACUCCGCCUUCAGCUUCCAUCAUUCUCAACAUUACAGAUCACCGGGCUCCAUCAAAAAUACAAAAACAAAUCACCAUGCUCUCGAUUAGAGACCAACCAGGGUUGUUUUCUCUAAUAAGUGAGUUCAUUUUUGUACAUUCCAUUUUCCCCUACCAGCCUGCGUUUUCUACCAUUUUCCAUGUACCCUAUUAAAGCUAGAUGGUGUGUCUUAUAAAGUAAUUGAGGUCUCAGAUGAGAAACUGGGGUGCGUUGGCAGGCCUGAGAGCAGAUCAAAGCUGAGCUAGGAAAGGGGUUGGCAGAGAGGGCUCCAUCGGUGGAAUAGCCCUAGACAGCCGACGGCUAAAUUUGCCCUCCAUUCCCCAAAGGUAUCCUAAAUGUCCACACUCAGGUCCCUCCUGUUAUUUCUUAUCAUCUACAAGCACUGUGGAGAGAUGGACUUGUCCUACUGAGAGCUAAUAGGAGCUCACAUGUCUGAUCUUCUUUCAGAAUUAAUUGUGCUAUGAGCUGCUGCAGGUACCCAGCAGGAAAGAAGAAACAGACAAGGAAGUUUUUUUCAAAAAUAAAGAAACAUUCGAGUUCAAGAUCGGUGCUGGGGUGAAUUGUCUCUGACUCAUCCACAAAGCAUUUUCUGAAACACCUGUUGUGUGUCCAGCUCUUGGAUUCCUGCCUUUAUUCACUUAACAGGUAUUUCUUGAGCACCUACUAUGUUUAGCUACCAUUCUAGGCACAGGGGAUAGAGUGGGGAACAGUGUGAACAGAGUUCCUCUCUCUUAGAGGGGGGUGGGCAGAAAAUGAGCAAAUAAGCACACAAGGGAGACAAUUUCAAAACUUGAUGAGUGUUACAAAGAAAUUCAAAGCGGGCUCUGUGACUGGUCAGAAGGAGCUGGAAGAGGGUCAUUGAGACUGGGUCUCCAGGGAAGGGUCACCACGGAGGAACAUGUAUACUGAGGAGCUGAAAAAAAAGCUGACCAUUUGAAAGUAAGGAUGUGGCCUUACUCGCCUAUAAUUCAGUUAGAUUUCAUCCAGAAAUCAUCAGUGAGCAACUCCAGGCAAGAGAGAGUAAAUCUCUAAUGCUAGAGGACUUUAGAAGAAAAUGAUAACUGGGGAGAAAAAAAAAACCAAAAACACAACGAGUUAAGGAACACUUAACGGAUGCGGAACCUACCCUGGACCUGGAAGAGAUUUGGAUUAAGUGGCUAUGUGGAAUGAAGGUAUGGAGCUGGGCAGGUGAGCAGUAAUGGACAUGACCUCCCCAGGAGUAGGGGCCGAGAAUGCUAUUGGCGGACCUACCAAGACGCUUUCAACUGGAGGGGACCUUUAGGUACUCUGGGCUCUUUCUCCUCAAGGUGUGGUCUGUGGACCAGUAGCAGCAUCACCUGGAAGCUUGCUAGAAAUGCAAAAUCUGGGUCUCCAUCCCAAACCUGCUGAAUCAGAAUCUGCCUUUUAACCAGAUGACCUGUGUGCACGGCAAAGUCCGUGAAACCCUGCGCUAGUCCGGACUCCCACUUUAGGGACGAGGGACCAGAAUCUACCCCAUCUCCAUCUUGGUGUGCAUGUGAGCCUGCACGCGUGACACACGGAGAAUUCUGCUUUUAACUGUUAGUUUCAGUAAUGAACCCAGAGGUGUAUAACAUCUGUGGCCAAAUAUGUACUUCUUACAUAGGGCAGCUAGCCUGGUCUUUGGCUCAAAUAGAAGAGGCAAGUUAAAACCUGGUCACUUUGCAGGUUUAUGCAUCUAUUGAAAAAAAAACCAGUCUGUUGGAUUUGAGUCCUGCAUCCAGCUUUCUAAAAGAUCAAAUAACUCUGUUCUUGGAUUACCCUUUGGAUUAAGACCACUUAUACUCCAGUAACUUGGCCCCUUCUAGCCAUGUGAUACUGAGCAAGUGACCUAAGCAUCUGGAUGUAGUUGUUUGUCUAUAAAGGGUAAUUUAGGACCCCUCUCUUUUAAGGUUGUUGUGAGGAAGAAAUGAGAUCAUUGGUGGCAGGUUGGAGGAUUAGUUGUGGAGAAAAGUCGUCCUGGUCCCCCAUUCCCUCUGCCACCCCUAAAUAAACAUAUAGUAGCAACAA
Long non-coding RNA from Neogale vison (American mink), 3335 nucleotides. RefSeq lists it as uncharacterized. NCBI's taxonomy places the organism in Eukaryota, Metazoa, Chordata, Mammalia, Carnivora, Mustelidae. The record is from RefSeq and is a predicted model, not a curated record. The transcript is spliced from 2 exons.